RNAcentral lists this ribosomal RNA (468 nucleotides) under uncultured bacterium. RNAcentral describes it as "partial 16S ribosomal RNA". It matches the Rfam family "Bacterial small subunit ribosomal RNA", at positions 28 to 507 of the family's 1533-position model. The record is from RNAcentral.
GACGAACGCUGGCGGCGUGCUUAACACAUGCAAGUCGAACGGAAAGGCCCUGCUUUUGUGGGGUGCUCGAGUGGCGAACGGGUAAGUAACACGUGAGUAACCUGCCCUUGACUUUGGGAUAACUUCAGGAAACUGGGGCUAAUACCGGAUAGGAGCUCCUGCUGCAUGGUGGGGGUUGGAAAGUUUCGGCGGUUGGGGAUGGACUCGCGGCUUAUCAGCUUGUUGGUGGGGUAGUGGCUUACCAAGGCUUUGACGGGUAGCCGGCCUGAGAGGGUGACCGGCCACAGUGGGACUGAGAUACGGCCCAGACUCCUACGGGAGGCAGCAGUGGGGAAUAUUGCACAAUGGGCGGAAGCCUGAUGCAGCAACGCCGCGUGCGGGAUGACGGCCUUCGGGUUGUAAACCGCUUUCGCCUGUGACGAAGCGUGAGUGACGGUAAUGGGUAAAGAAGCACCGGCUAACUACGUG